This 86-nucleotide transfer RNA is filed under the name bacterium. RNAcentral describes it as "tRNA-Ser". It matches the Rfam family "tRNA". From Rfam's summary of the family: Transfer RNA (tRNA) molecules are approximately 80 nucleotides in length. RNAcentral also lists the same sequence under 5 other names. The record is from RNAcentral.
GGAGGGGUAGCCUAAUUGGUAAGGCAGUAGUCUUGAAAACUACCGCGGGAAACCGCUUGCAGGUUCGAGUCCUGUCCCCUCCGCCA